This 367-nucleotide RNase P RNA is filed under the name Shewanellaceae bacterium. Its description in RNAcentral is "RNase P RNA component class A". It matches the Rfam family "Bacterial RNase P class A". Rfam says of the family: Ribonuclease P (RNase P) is a ubiquitous endoribonuclease, found in archaea, bacteria and eukarya as well as chloroplasts and mitochondria. Its best characterised activity is the generation of mature 5'-ends of tRNAs by cleaving the 5'-leader elements of precursor-tRNAs. The record is from RNAcentral. Lineage: Bacteria; Pseudomonadati; Pseudomonadota; Gammaproteobacteria; Alteromonadales; Shewanellaceae.
AGAGUUGGCAGCGCAGUCGCCGCGUUUAAUACGGGGAGGAAAGUCCGGGCUCCAUAGGGCAGGGUGCCAGAUAACGUCUGGGAAGCGUGAGCUUACGACCAGUGCAGCAGAAAGUAUACCGCCGAUGUUUGGUUUUUCUAAACAGGUAAGGGUGAAAGGGUGUGGUAAGAGCGCACCGCGUGACAGGUAACUGUUAACGGCAUGGUAAACUCCACUCGGAGCAAGAUCAAAUAGGCUCUCGUUAAUGUUGUCCGCAUUGAGAGCGGGUAGAUUGCUUGAACCACAGAGUGAUUUGUGGUCUAGAUGAAUGACUGCUAUUCAUGUUUACAUGAAGAAACAGAACCCGGCUUACAUGCCAACUCUAACC